CCCCGGUGGGCCGGGCCUGGGUCCGUGCCGCCGGUGCCGGUGCGGUCUGGGUCCGGCGGCUCUACACCGCCCCCGGCGG
Molecule: transfer RNA, 79 nt
Filed under: Phycicoccus endophyticus
Lineage: Bacteria; Bacillati; Actinomycetota; Actinomycetes; Micrococcales; Intrasporangiaceae
Description: tRNA-Thr
Source: RNAcentral